UACGUAGGGGGCAAGCGUUGUCCGGAAUCAUUGGGCGUAAAGAGCGUGUAGGCGGCCCGGUAAGUCCGCUGUGAAAGUCCAGGGCUCAACCCUCGAAUGCCGGUGGAUACUGUCGGGCUAGAGUGCGGAAGAGGCGAGUGGAAUUCCUGGUGUAGCGGUGAAAUGCACAGAUAUCAGGAAGAACACCCGUGGCGAAGGCGGCUCUCUGGGACGGUACUGACGCUGAGACGCGAAAGCGUGGGGAGCGAACAGG
This 253-nucleotide ribosomal RNA is filed under the name uncultured bacterium. RNAcentral's name for it is "partial 16S ribosomal RNA". It matches the Rfam family "Bacterial small subunit ribosomal RNA", at positions 524 to 776 of the family's 1533-position model. The record is from RNAcentral.